This is a long non-coding RNA of Tachysurus fulvidraco (yellow catfish), 464 nucleotides long. RefSeq lists it as uncharacterized. The transcript is spliced from 2 exons. NCBI's taxonomy places the organism in Eukaryota, Metazoa, Chordata, Actinopteri, Siluriformes, Bagridae. The record is from RefSeq and is a predicted model, not a curated record.
CUGGUUGAUUAUUCAGUAGACGUGACUUGUGUAUAUUCCGUCACGUUUCACCAUCCAGGCUACAGUAUGUGUGUCUCUCCAGCGACAUUUCUUUCUGUCCUCGUGAACGAUUCACAAUGUACUGCGGGAGGUCAGGAGCUGAGACAUGUUUUACUGACCUGUUAUUUCUGUCUACAAGGAAAAAACAACAACUCUGGCUUCCUUCCCAUCGAGCUUCGGUACGGUACCGCUGUACUAAUGAGCUACUCUUCAAAGAUCCGGUAUUUUUUUGUCAGCAAACAUGACCACCAACUGGCCACUCUCACAGGAAGAGGCAGAUUCACUGGCAUUGGACGAAAGCUGUUAAAACUCUUGAGUAACAUUAGUUUACCUGCUUGGAAAAGUGUACAAUAAGGAUUGUAUGUUUUGGGUCUCAUUAAUGGAGUGUGAUGCUGAGAUUAUAUUAAAACAAUCCUUUUCAUGGA